Molecule: long non-coding RNA, 2086 nt
Organism: Oxyura jamaicensis (ruddy duck)
Lineage: Eukaryota; Metazoa; Chordata; Aves; Anseriformes; Anatidae
Exons: 2
Source: RefSeq, a predicted model, not a curated record
AGAAGUCUUCCUAUAGAGAAUUUUAAAGAUCAAUUAUUAUAAUGACUUGAUUAUAAUGGCUUUCCAUAUUGAUUGCAAGGAGCUACAGGAAGAGUCACAUCUCUAAUGUUUGACCUCUGUUAGGUGCAAUAAUACAUACCACAGACCCAUAAAAUGAGCUCAUCAGAACUGUCUGCAUGACUAAAAUUCUCUCAUUAGCUUGUACAAGGAAGGCUAUUCCUUGUUCUUUGACUUUUUUAGCACUAAUUUUCUGUUUGCCUGACUGUUUCUCAAUGAAUGAGGAGAGUUUGCUUUUGCAGUAAUUUGAGCAAAGGAGAGACCUCCUGCUUCUGUGUUGAUAUAGUCUAAUAAUAUAGAUAUCAUCAUGCAAAACUUACAUUUACUUUUCAUAACAUCAAAAAGUAAAUACAUUUUAAGGGGCAGAAGAAAAAUAAAGCCUUAGGCAGUGAGCAAAAUAAACAUCAGGUGAAAGACAAAAGCCUGGAAGAAUUGAUUAUGCCACUUGGCUGCUCUCCUGAGGAAGAUAAAAGAGGCCAGGACAUGCUCUGCUACUCCCUGCAUGUAGAAGUCAGGCUUGGAAACAAUACUCUGACAUCUCUGCCAUGCAGAUAACUCCAGCAAGCAAGUCUGCUGAUUUAACUAUUCACAUUUUGUAUUUUUGUGCCCAUUGAUUGACAGCUACAGAACACAUUCUACCAGCCUGAUCUUUGUGUACCGGCUUUAAUGAAAAAAAAAAAAAUAGGAUAGGAAAGGGAUGAAAUUGAAAAGAUGAAGUGAUUAAAUAAAAGAUUAGGAUUCCCGAAGACUGGGUAUUCUGCCAAGAUAAUACAAGAAGAACUUGAGCCAAAGUAUCUGGCCUUUGUGCACACAGCCAAGGACACCAAAGACUGCACAAAACUUCUGCUGUUCAAAGCCUGUUGGGAGAUGUAGCUGUAGAAGAGUAGCACUCGAUAGAUCCUCAGCCUUUCAAAGACUGGGUCACAAACGUGGUCACAAACACCUCCAAGCCAACAUAUCAAAGGGUAGCACACUGCUAACAUCCAGUUCCCAUUAAAUAUAAUGCCACUCAAAACUGACAGCAUUUCUUGGUACUGUGCUGGAUCAAAAUGUGGGUACUGUUUUGCUGAUAGCAAGAUCUAAGUCAUAGUCAUUAUCUGGGGAAGGAAGAGCCUGAACUCUAGGAGAUACGAAGUCCGCCCUCCAACCUUCUCUCCAAAUAAACCAAUUAAAACAACUCAGCAAUGAAACACCCAAAGUAAUAUGACCCAGGUUUUUAUGUACAUUUUUUUCUGGACAAAAGUUUCUGCUGUCAUGUUUUGCUUUCCUUUGAGUGUGGGCAAGGAAGGAGCUGCUCUGCACCAUGAGGUGCUGGUCCAUUACAAUGCCCAUAGGAAAGACGCUCAGAUUCUGUAAGUUGUCAUAUAAAAUGCUGGUUAUUGAAGCUAACACUGUAAGAAGAGAAUAGCAUGGCUAAUCUUUAUCCCUUUUGAUGCUGAGAACCCUGAGUGAUGUAGCAUCAUCCAAUCAAUGCACAACACACCAGGGAGAAGCUGUCCAUAGAAGAUGGUCAUUCAGGCUCUUACAGGAUCUUUGUAUGGGAAAAAGAAAAGAGGAAAAAAUAUAUAUAAAAAAGCCAACAACUCCAUCAUUUCUACCGUCAAACAGAAAGAAUAUUCACAGGAGAAAGUCUUGCUGCAGUUAUAGGUAAAGGCAAGGCCAUGCAUGUGGCGUAAGCAACUGUGCCAAGUGGAAGCUGCCUGCAGGUUCCUUGGUCACAAGGGGCUGGCUGUGUUUAUCCUGUGACCAAGGGAUUUAUGGAAAAUAACACAUCUUGACUGCCACACUGGAUAGGUAGCACACAGUGGAGCACAGCACAGGCCUGCACCCACUGAGAUUAACUCUUACAUGGAUCACUGACUCCUAGGUCUCCUGGUCAGGAUCACUGCAGGAGCUGUUUUGUUUUGUUUUGUUUUGAACCUGAACUAUGACACUUUUAUAGUUCUAAAAGUUACAAUUACUGAGCUGAACAUGAAACAGCAAGUUGCACUGAGCAACAAGAAUUCGGAAAUGCUGUUUAUUCUGAAGA